This is a non-coding RNA of Vicugna pacos (alpaca), 2279 nucleotides long. Lineage: Eukaryota; Metazoa; Chordata; Mammalia; Artiodactyla; Camelidae. The record is from RefSeq and is a predicted model, not a curated record.
UAAAGGGUAGGCAGACUUCACACACAGGAACUACAGCAGCAGGACUAGGGACCGCAGUGCUACAACCAGAUUUUGCAUUAGGGAGAGAUGGGACCCGACAUAAUACAGAAAGGAAAAGUGGGACUUUACAGCCAAGGAGUUGGGUAGGGGUCGGGGGUCAGUGAACGGAAAAUUCCUGAGAGGAAACAACAGAGGUGAGGAGGGAUUUCAGGCUAAACCAACCUAACCCAACAAGACUCUUGCUGGAGGCAGGCAGGUGGUCAGACGUCACAUGGGGGAUGGAGGGAGAGGAAGCCCCUGAGCAGACACGGAGGGUGAGCAGAUAUCGAGGACGCGGGAUUCCAGCUAAACCGACUCCGCAAGAUUCUUGCUAAACCUGGACAAGGCAGAGGCAGAGAUGGAAGCACAAACGUCAGAGCCUGGUGGAGAAGAGUGUUCAGAGAAGCCUGACCAAAGCUUGAUCAAGGAGAGACUGUUGGCAGACAGAAGGCUAUUUUAAACAGUCCUAGUGGGAGUUAACCAGGGUUCCAAGCAGGAUGGAGAAACAAGAGCGGAAAGGAAAGAAGCACCUAAGACAAACACGGAAGGUAUGGUGGAUUUUUUGAAUGGAAAGGAAUUCUCAAUUAUAAAAUGAGGUUCUUCUUCUACAUGAAGAGUGAAUACUUCAUGCAACCAUGAAUUUUUGUCUGUUUACUCCACUGUUGUAUCCUCAAUGCCUAAAGCUAUGCCCAGCUGACAGUAGGUGCUAAAUAAAUAUUUGUGUGAUGAGCAAUCUAGGAAGAUUCUCGGGUUCUGACUCACCCCAAUGCAGAAGUAAUGAGUUCAUUCACAACGAUGUAUACUACAGAAGCAAGAAAAGAUUUGGGGAAAAUGAUGUCAACUUGCAAAUGUAAAACUGAGGUAUUCAUGGUACCUUCAAGUGCAGAUGUUCAGUAAGUAGUUGUGACAGAUGAGUUCAUGGGCUAAAGAUAAAAAUUUAGUGACCACCAACAUUUAGGUGAUAGUCAAAGCCAUUGAUGUCAACAAAAUGACUCAAAGAAAGUUGACUAAGAGGGAAAAUGCCUAAUAAGCUACAAGAAAGCCAUCAUUUCAGGGAUGGGCAGGGGAAGACGAUGCUAUUAAGGAUAUUAAUACUGGGUAGGUAAAAAGAUGGAGGAAAAGUCAGUUUAAUGUUGUCUCAAAAGCCAAAAGAAAUCAACAAUUUAAAAAAGAGAAAUAGUCAACAUCUAGCAUGAAGCACAGACACUAAGUAAAAUCAGGGCUGAAUCAUACAUAGCUUCUGGACACAGUAACUGAGAGGCUCUGGAGCCAUGGCUGGAACAGAGUUGUGGCAAGUUUGUUGGUAAAGGCAAGGUCUUAGUGGGAAGGAAGAAAGUUCUCGAACAAAAAAAAUCAACAAAGCAACGGUCUUGUUUUAGGAAGGUAUCAAGAAAUACCGUGCAUGAGAGAUGAAUUUAAAGAGAAUUAAGAAGGAAAACUAUUUGUAACACAAUGUACUGGAGGGAGGUGAACAGGGUCUGUAUAAAAGUGGUGUCAGUGGAAUAGCAGGGAAGAUCACUGUACAACAUCACAGAGAAAAAGAUCAUAUAAUUUAGUAAUGUAUUAGAUGCAAAUGUCAAAGGACAUUGAGAACUAAAAGGAGAUGCCAUGUUUAGAGUCAUGGCAGAUUGGAAAGAUAGGGAUAUUAAUAGCAAUGAAAAAAUCAGGAAUGAGAUCUGAUUGGUGGAGGAGAGAGGAACAUUCUAAUUUAGGAAGUAUUUUUAUCCUUCUGUAGUUUCCUAUUCCAAGUUUUAAAGAUAUCUGUGAAGGUGUACAUAACGAAUCCAUAAUUCAUGGAAAAGAAAUCCUACAGUCGUGGAAAUUGUCAUUAAUUUUAGGUAUACCGACUUAAUGAGAUAGUGCCUCACCUAUUUUUAUUGGGGUGUUAUUGGUAAAAAUCAUAGCCAUAAUUUCAACUGUGUAAUUAUAACUGAGGAAAAAUACAUCUGAUAUAUUUGUUAAAACUUUAGCUCCUUGGCGGUGAUGACGAUGCUAUGUGCGUGUGUGGUAAGUAAGUUCUGACGCGACAGUGGUAUCCUGAGGGCAUCAUGUGAGCUGCUUGCUGUUUGAAAGGCAACUCCUUCCUGAGCUACUCAAACAGCGGAAGGAACACAAUGCUCUCCAGCUACUGCUAUGCCCUCAAGCUUGGGCUGAAAUUUCUCAUUGAAGUUUUCUUUAAUUAGGACUGCUGAGACUCAAUUUCUGUAUUUCUUAAAAAAGUAUGAUUUCAUAGAACUUGA